This 987-nucleotide ribosomal RNA is filed under the name uncultured archaeon. RNAcentral describes it as "bacterial SSU rRNA". It matches the Rfam family "Archaeal small subunit ribosomal RNA", at positions 85 to 1061 of the family's 1478-position model. The record is from RNAcentral.
ACGGCUCAGUAACACGUAGCUAACCUACCCUCAGGACGUGGACAACCCCGGGAAACUGGGGCUAAUCCGCGAUAGGUAUGAAGGCCUGGAAUGGUUUCAUGCCCAACGGCACAGCGAUCAUGUUUGUUGUGCGCCUGAGGAUGGGGCUGCGGCUGAUCAGGCAGUUGGCGAGGUAACGGCUCACCAAACCUUUGACCAGUACGGGCCAUGAAAGUGGUAGCCCGGAGAUGGGCACUGAGACAGGGGCCCAGGCCCUACGGGGCGCAGCAGGCGCGAAAACUCCACACUGUACGGAAGUACGAUGGGGUUAUCUCGAGUGCAGUCCGAUAAGGGCUGCUUUUCCAUAGAGUAAUAUCCUGUGGGAAUAAGAGGGGGGCAAGACUGGUGUCAGCCGCCGCGGUAACACCAGCCCCUCGAGUGGUGGGGACUAUUAUUUGGUCUAAAGCGUCCGUAGCUGGCUGUAUCCGUCCCCCGGCAAAUCCAGCGUCCUAAACGUUGGACUUCGGGUGAUACCAUACAGCUAGAGGGUGGGAUAGGUGAGCGGUAUUUCUGGGGUAGGGGCGAAAUCCUUUGAUCCCAGGAGGACCACCAGUGGCGAAGGCUGCUCACUAGAACACGCCUGACGGUCAGGGACGAAAGCUGGGGCAGCGAACCGGAUUAGAUACCCGGGUAGUCCCAGCUGUAAACGAUGCUAGCUAGGUGUUGGGUCGGCCACGCGCCGCCCCAGUGCCGCAGGGAAGCCGUUAAGCUAGCCACCUGGGGAGUACGGCCGCAGGCUGAAACUUAAAGGAAUUGGCGGGGGAGCACCACCAGGCGUGAAGCCUGCGGUUUAAUUGGAGUCAACGCCGGAAAUCUUACCAGGAUCGACAGCAGAGUGAAGGCCAGAUUGAAGUCUUGCUAGACGAGCUGAAAGGAGGUGCAUGGCCAUCGCCAGUUCGUGCCGUGGAGUGUCCUCUUAAGUGAGGUACGAGCGAGAACCCCGCCAUC